GCCCUGGUGGCGGAACUGGCAGACGCGCAUGGCUCAGGACCAUGUGGGGGCAACCCCUUGGAGGUUCGAGUCCUCUCCAGGGCA
RNAcentral lists this transfer RNA (84 nucleotides) under Thermogutta sp. RNAcentral's name for it is "tRNA-Leu". It matches the Rfam family "tRNA". From Rfam's summary of the family: Transfer RNA (tRNA) molecules are approximately 80 nucleotides in length. Their secondary structure includes four short double-helical elements and three loops (D, anti-codon, and T loops). RNAcentral also lists the same sequence under 1 other name. The record is from RNAcentral. Lineage: Bacteria; Pseudomonadati; Planctomycetota; Planctomycetia; Pirellulales; Thermoguttaceae.